UGAGUAACACGUAUGCAACCUGCCUGCCACAGCCGGAUAAUCGGGAGAAAUUCCGUCUAAUACGGCAUAAUGCAUCGACGGGACAUCCUGUUGGUGCCAAAGGUUAAUUCCGGUGGCGGAUGGGCAUGCGUCGCAUUAGUUAGUUGGCGGUGUAACGGACCACCAAGACGACGAUGCGUAGGGGUUCUGAGAGGAAGGUCCCCCACACUGGUACUGAGACACGGACCAGACUCAUACGGAAGGCAGCAG
Molecule: ribosomal RNA, 249 nt
Filed under: uncultured bacterium
Lineage: Bacteria
Description: partial 16S ribosomal RNA
Rfam family: Bacterial small subunit ribosomal RNA
Source: RNAcentral